This 3721-nucleotide unclassified non-coding RNA is filed under the name Hevea brasiliensis (rubber tree). The record is from RNAcentral. Lineage: Eukaryota; Viridiplantae; Streptophyta; Magnoliopsida; Malpighiales; Euphorbiaceae.
GAGGGAAUCUGUAAAAUUCAAUCCAGAUCCUUGAGAAUAAUCUGAUAAUCUGUUGAACACUGUUGGGAAAAUAAUCCAUUUUUCCUAUUUUCAUCAUAAUUAUAUAGAACCAGUGGUCUCUGCAGAAAGAAGAAAAGAACUCUCUCGGUAUAUUGGGAUUCACUCACGUGUCAUAAAGAGUUGAUUGCUUUCAUCUUGAAUCAUUGUGAUAUUGAAAUAUGUAAAAUGGAGGCUAGGUUCUCUUCAGGGUAACCGAGAAGAAUCUCUAUGAAGGUUUAGUUUGUAGUUGGCGUAUAUGGGCAAACCAAUUUGAUUUGGGGUGGGUGGAGUGGGUGUUGUAAUGGCAAUCUAUACUGUUCUGGAAUGGGGAUUCUGCAUAGUUCCGAGACCUAAUGUUCCUUUUUCUUUUUCAGUUUCUGAAAGUUGAUUUGAAUGUGGAGAAUUUCUUUGAUAUGCUAGGUUUACAUCUUUUCCUAUUUUUGACGUGGAUUAGUUGAACGGUAAAAGUAUGGCUUCUGGUGCAGUUUGGCUAAAUGUUGUGAAAAGGCUCUUUUAUUUAUGUGAGUAUACUUCUGGUGUUAGGAUGUAGGAGAGUUCUGCCUGGCUGUAUUAUAUAAAAGAUCUAAUAGAGUUGGUAUUUUUUGUGAGCUAUUAGAUGCAGCAGUUGAAGUCGAGCAAAUUCCAAGCCCUUCUAGGUGUGUAGAUUGUUUUGUUAUUUCCGUAGGUAGAACAUGAAUCACUCUUGAUUUGCAGAACAAGAGUCAGUCUAUAUGAACUGGAUGUUUCUUGGAUGUUAAUCUAGAUGUGAUACAUUCAAAGCAACCUAGGAACUGAUGGAUGAUUUCUCUCUAUAUAAUCUUUCCACAAGCCUAUCGACUUUGUUUUCAUAAACACACCAAAGCAGUUUCAUCACUCGUAAAAACUACAAUAAUAUUAUGUUUACAAGGAAGCACAGUAAUCUCCGUAUCUAGUAGUACUCUCAAGUUGUAGAGCUUGUCCUUAGAAAAGAAGCUCACAUAUAAUGCAUACCAAUAGAACACUUCUGAAACUUUACCGAGUCAAUAGGUAUAUCCUCCGGCGGAAAAUUGCAUUCUGUAAGUUGCUCUGGCCUUUGAUCAGGCAAUAAAUCACACGGUCGAGGAGUCACUCCACUUGUGAUCCCCUCAAUAUCAGUGCAUGUCCAUAUUAUCUUCUUGUGCUUGGCUGCCAUUCCAAUUGUGACAUUAGAAAUACAAAUUUCCUUAAAUGGGUCGCCGGAAAUUCCCUCCAAUCUGGCGGCCAUUGACACAUUAUCUGCAACCAUAUCCCUAUAGCUGAUCCCUUGAAUUACAGGCAGGGCAUUUGGGUCAUAGUUCUUAUCAGCGUGUGACCCAUAAUUUCCAGUCAUCCAAAAGGCCCAUUUCAUGGUGUGCAUAGUCAUUCUCCUUACAUAUAUAUCCUUCACAAAGCCUCCUCUUCCUACAGCAGUUUUGAUCCUGACCCCUGAUUCUGUAUUGAUGGCUGUGAUGUCCUCUGCUCUAACAUCUUGGAUCCCACCUGACAUUUCACUUCCUAGUGCAAUUGUGGCACUGUAUGGAGAAAUGCAUGUGAGCCGUCUGAUUAUUAGUUGCCUUGUGGGCAUCCCAAACGCAAUCCCAUACUCAUCCCAACCGCUCUUAACGGCCACACAAUCAUCUCCGGAGACUAUGUAGCAGUCUUCAAUUUUAACGUUUGUGCAAGAAUCUGAUCAUCAAGAGUAAAUAAUCAAUAUUAAUAUAUUCCUUUUCAUGAAUGUAAUUGAAAAUUGAAGUCCUACAUCUAUUGAUUAAAAUGAAAGACUAAAUGAAAUCAACCUGGGUUGAUGCCAUCAGUGUUUGGAGAUUUGAUUGGAGCAAUGAUGGUAAUGCCUUGCACAAGAAUAUUACUGCAAUUCCAUGGUUAAAAUACAAUGCAUCAUAUUCAAAUGGGUGCAAUUAUAAUUAUAUUACUGAAAAUGGAGUUGCUGAUGUUCUAAUUCGGAGGUUGAAAUUACCUGCUGUAAACAGGAUGAACAUUCCAUGAUGGGGAAUUUAGGAGCGUUAGAUUCGAAAUUUGGAUGUUAUCUGAGAACAUGAACUCAAUCAAGUAAGGUCGGGUGUAUUUGAGCUUGCCCUGGUGAAAUUUCUGCCACCAGAAAGCACCCUGACCAUCAAUUGUGCCAUUAUCCCCUGCAUCAAAUUAUGCCAACCAAAUGUUUAGCUGUUCCUUAGCGAAAACUGACAAAAAUUGCUAUUAAUCUUGGUUUAGUUCUUAAAUAAUUACCUGUAACAAUAACAUCAGUGAGAUUUGUUCCAAAAAUGAGGCUGACGUACCUUCCAGCUGCUGCAUCCCUUCCUCGGCCGUACGAUGGCAGAGGUUUCAGCGAUGGCCAUUCGUUAAUAUUCUAAACAAAUUUAAUGUCAUUAUCAGUACUAAACAAGAUUAGUCCUUUUCUUUAAACGAAUUUAGAGUUUUAUCUAUUUGGUUCUUUGUUCUUUCCCAGAAUGAGCUCAGAACCCUCAACAAUUUCACCAACAUUUGAAUAUGAAAUUUAUCAUGUGAGAAAAGGGGAAAACCUGAGAAGCAAGAAGAACAGCAUCCUUGUGGAGGAAGAUAGUGAAAUGACUGGUAAGGCUGAAGCUACCCGUCAGCCAUUUUCCAGCAGGAACAAAGAGUUGAGACCCACCAUCUGAUGCAUACUGACUCAGAUUAUUAAUUGCAUCCUGAAAUGCUUUAGUGUUGGAUGUUUGGCCAUCUCCAACUCCUCCAAAAUCUGUUAUUGAUGCACUAUGAGCCCUGCAGCUUAUAGCAUUGUACUCAAAGGAGUCCAAAAUCCUUGCUUUUCUGCUCUCUGCUCCUUUCACACUCAGCAAUGCCAAGACUACCAGCACUGAAACUAUAUUAGCCACUCGAGGUUUCGCAGUUCUUAUCCAGAGCAACUCCAUGGUCGAAACUGAAACUUCAAUGGAUGAGGGAUUUGUUACGUGAUGUUAUGGAGACGAAACGGUGUAUUUAUAGUGAAAAAAGCGAUAACUGUAGAUACAGACUUUGGCUUGCAAGGCUGCUUGUCGUUCUUCGAAGCCAAGCAAAGCUAUGCUCUUUUUCGUGCCUUCAUUGGAAUCUUUUUAUGGCUUUGACAUCAUUUUGACAGAAACAUUUCAUCAUCAACAUUAAAAGUGAAUUCCAUAAGGAUUGAAUUAUCAAUUUUUUUUAUAGAAAAAAUUACUAAUUAAUUAUUCUAAUUUGAAGUUCUGCACCUUGGCUUGGCAUUUAGGCAAUAAACUAGUUGGAUUUGAUUAACCUUAAGCAUCAAAUUGAGAAGUAGGAGCCCAUACUCCUCCACUUCCCAAUGUUCAUGCUAGUCAUCAUUACACAUAUAGCAUGUCACUAUCCUACCACUGCCUAUGCUUCCACCUUCACCAUUAUCAGAAAAAUACAUUGUUUUUCCUACUUAAAAAAGCUAAAAACAUGGCCGUUGGACAAUCAAAGUUAGUGGGUUUUCUGGUUUCUAACCAGUAAUUAUAUGAUGUGGAGAUGGAAAUUUCAUCCCAAUGGAAAAUCCUGUGUUAUCUCAAGCCCAUGUUGUCCUAUUUUUAUCUUACCCAUUACAAAUUAAUAGAAUAGGAAUAUAAGUAUUCACUUCACCAUCUCAUUCCUGUCCUGAUGCUUAACGAAACAGGACCCAAGCCACCCAUUUCCACUGGGGAUCAUGGGAUAGGUGGCG